RNAcentral lists this ribosomal RNA (200 nucleotides) under uncultured eukaryote. Its description in RNAcentral is "partial 18S ribosomal RNA". It matches the Rfam family "Eukaryotic small subunit ribosomal RNA", at positions 588 to 788 of the family's 1831-position model. The record is from RNAcentral.
GCUCCAGUAGCGUAUAUUAAAGUUGUUGCAGUUAAAAAGCUCGUAGUUGGAUUUCUGACUUCAGCCGCCUGGCCGCAUUAUGUGUGAGUGCCGGAGCGUCUGUAUCAUCCUUUCAGAGAUUGCGUCUGCUCUUUAACGGAGUUGGACGUGAAAUCUGGAUCUUUUACUUUGAAGAAAUUGGAGUGUUUAAAGCAGCUUAC